RNAcentral lists this ribosomal RNA (417 nucleotides) under Amazophrynella bokermanni group sp. ABGD cluster 3. RNAcentral describes it as "partial large subunit ribosomal RNA". It matches the Rfam family "Bacterial large subunit ribosomal RNA", at positions 1834 to 2457 of the family's 2925-position model. The record is from RNAcentral. Lineage: Eukaryota; Metazoa; Chordata; Amphibia; Anura; Bufonidae.
CUUGAACACUAUAAGAGGUCCAGCCUGCCCAGUGAAAUAAUUCAACGGCCGCGGUAUCCUAACCGUGCGAAGGUAGCGUAAUCACUUGUUCUCUAAAUCAGGACUAGUAUGAACGGCACCACGAGGGUUACACUGUCUCCUUUUUCCAAUUAGUGAACUUAAUCUUCCCGUGAAGAAGCGGGAAUAAACUUAUAAGACGAGAAGACCCUAUGGAGCUUUAAACAACCUAGCAUUUGCCCUCACCUUAAUAUUUCAGAAUUACUAGACUCUGCAUAAUGACUAGAAGUUUUAGGUUGGGGUGACCGCGGAGUAAAACUCAUCCUCCACGAUGAAAGAAUUUUUAUUCUUAACCAAGAUAUACUUAUCUAUGUAUCAAUUUACUGACAUCCAUUGACCCAAUAUAUUUGAUCAACGAAC